Oreochromis aureus is the source of this 1808-nucleotide long non-coding RNA. NCBI's taxonomy places the organism in Eukaryota, Metazoa, Chordata, Actinopteri, Cichliformes, Cichlidae. The record is from Ensembl.
GAAAAUGAUCAACACCCUAGACCAGGGGUCGGCAACCUGCGGCUCCGGAGCCGCAUGCGGAUCUUUAGUCCUUCUACGGCUCCGCGUGGUUUGGGGAAAUAAAUAAUUUUUUGUAAGUAAUUAGCUAAAGUCUAUUUUAUUUAUGUUAGUUCUUUUUUUAACUCGUAGUUCUAAAUUGGAAGAUUAUUGUGAUAUUGAAAUAUAAAUAUAAAAUUAUAUUCUAUUAGUUUUUGAUCGAUCAAAAUAAGCGUCACACUUGCGGAAGCCGAUAUACCCUUGAAACGCCCGCCAACCCCAGGUAGGCCAAUUAUGGAUCUUCGGAUCCACAUUAUGUCAGCAGCUGUUCUCCAAAAACAAACACGUUCACGCCUCACAGACGACAGCUUACAGUCGUGCGUAAAGAUGAAAGUGACUUCGUACAGCCCCGAUCGUACAGCAGACGCUGUGCGCAGAGGUUCAGGAGCGGAAGUCCCAUUGUAAACAUAUCACGGCAGACCCGACUAUGUUUCCAUGAACACGCUUUUCAGCAUCUUUUUAUUGACCACUUUUCACACACGGUUGCUUUACGCAUACAGCCGGUGUUAAAGCUCGCAGCCCGACACACACCAACACAACAGCAUAGGUGGCACAGACGUUAAGGCGGCGAGGCGUGAUUGCCGGUACCGCUAAGGUGCGUCCGCCUCCCCUGCAGCGGCGCUGCAGUCCACGCCCCGCCACACACAUUAAUCAGGUAAAAUACAUACUUAGGCGGAAUUUUGCAAAGUUCAAAAUGUGUUAAUUACAUAAAUAAAAUGUAAUUUUCUCUGUAGCACUUCAUGCAUUUAAGCAACACACCUUAGUUGUUCACACAAAGCAUAAAGGUAAAAAAAAACCCAAUAUAUACAGUGUUAUGUUCAUUUUAGAUGUCAAAAAGUAUUUGCGGCUCCCAGAGUUUUCUUUUGUGUGGAAAUCGCGUCCAAAUGGCUCUUUGGGUGUUAAAGGUUGCUGACCCCUGCCCUAGACAAACGCUACACAGUGCCGUCCCGCAGCUAUUUUUCUAUUGUUGCACUACCUGCUCUAUACACUUAGUGUCAAGCAACGGUGGAAACGGAAUUUCAAGCAGUACAACAUUUUGCGGCAACGACAAAAUAGAGGGAGAGAAAGGAACAGAGAGGGAGAUUGAGAAUGAGGACAGAACAGAGAUGGAACAAGAGCAGAUAUAUCCUGUAGGGACAUGAGGAGGAAACAGUGGCAAAAGGAGUUAUGUGAGGCUGCUAAAGGCAGUGGAUCCUUCAUCAGACCACAGGCAACAAUAACACAUGUACCAGUUGUUGAACUGCAGAGAUGGACAGGAACAGGAGAGUGAUAGAUGAGAUGAGGAGAUGGAAGGAGGAAGAGAAGCAAAGAUCAGAUACCAUCUCUCCUAUGGACUUUGUAAAUCUGCAGUCUCAGAUCAACACAAUCCUGCCCUUCAGCACUAUCAGCAGCAGGAGCAGCAGCAACCUCUGAAAAGCAGCAUUGUACCCCAUCAGGAAGGAAGCAUCAAUAUCAGAUGAGAAGAUUUAUGUCUUUCUUUUGUGUCCCCCCAACAAGUUGAUUUGUUCACAUUUUUACAUUUUUACAUCUUAAUUUUUAAGUGACAUGUGCAUUUUGAGUUUAUACACUAUGUAUAUAAGGUGACUGUUCCCUUUAGCAGUAUUUUUGUGUGGUGUGUUUUUCUGUCUUAACAAAAGGGGAACAAAGGUGUUUAAGUUCACCUAGAAUGAUUUGUUUUGAUUUUCACAUGAUCUUACUGAGGUGAUUGGAAUUGAAACAUGCAUUCAUUUUUU